RNAcentral lists this ribosomal RNA (492 nucleotides) under uncultured marine eukaryote. RNAcentral describes it as "SSU rRNA". It matches the Rfam family "Eukaryotic small subunit ribosomal RNA", at positions 621 to 1129 of the family's 1831-position model. The record is from RNAcentral.
AAAAAGCUCGUAGUUGGAUUUCUGGGAGGGUGCCAAUGUCCGGUUGAUUCGUGCGCAGCGGCGGCCUCCCAUCCUUCUGUCAACGCUUCGCGGCAUUCAUUUGCCGGUCGCGGGCUCAGAUAUUUUACCUUGAGAAAAUUAGAGUGUUUCAGGCAGGCUAGGCCGGAAUACAUUAGCAUGGAAUAAUGGAAUAGGACUUCGGUCUCUUUGUUGGUUUGAGGGACCAAAGUAAUGAUUAAUAGGGAUAGUUGGGGGCAUUAGUAUUUAAUUGUCAGAGGUGGAAUUCUCAGAUUUGUUAAAGACUAACUUAUGCGAAAGCAUUUGCCAAGGAUGUUUUCAUUAAUCAAGAACGAAAGUUAGGGGAUCAAAGACGAUUAGAUACCGUCCUAGUCUUAACCAUAAACUAUGCCGACUCGGGAUCGGGGGCGCGAACUAGCCGCCUUCGGCACCGUAUGAGAAAUCAAAGUCUUUGGGUUCUGGGGGGAGUAGGUC